AGCGAACGCUGGCGGCAGGCCUAACACAUGCAAGUCGAACGAACCUUUCGGGGUUAGUGGCGGACGGGUGAGUAACACGUGGGAACGUGCCUUUAGGUUCGGAAUAACUCAGGGAAACUUGUGCUAAUACCGAAUGUGCCCUUCGGGGGAAAGAUUAAUCGCCUUUAGAGCGGCCCGCGUCUGAUUAGCUAGUUGGUUGAGGUAAUGGCUCACCAAGGCGACGAUCAGUAGCUGGUCUGAGAGGAUGAUCAGCCACAUUGGGACUGAGACACGGCCCAAACUCCUACGGGAGGCAGCAGUGGGGAAUCUUGCGCAAUGGGCGAAAGCCUGACGCAGCCAGGCCGCGUGAAUGAUGAAGGUCUGAGGAUUGUAAAAUUCUUUCACCGGGGACGAUAAUGACGGUACCCGGAGAAGAAGCCCCGGCUAACUUCGUG
Molecule: ribosomal RNA, 434 nt
Filed under: uncultured bacterium
Lineage: Bacteria
Description: partial 16S ribosomal RNA
Rfam family: Bacterial small subunit ribosomal RNA
Source: RNAcentral